This is a long non-coding RNA of Colius striatus (speckled mousebird), 621 nucleotides long. RefSeq lists it as uncharacterized. The record is from RefSeq and is a predicted model, not a curated record. NCBI's taxonomy places the organism in Eukaryota, Metazoa, Chordata, Aves, Coliiformes, Coliidae. The transcript has 2 exons.
GCGGCCUGUGCCUGCCGCCGUGCGGCGGUGCGACCUCCGCGGACAUGGAGGCGGCGGCGCGGCGGCGGCAGGCGCAGCAGCAGCAGCGGGGCGCGGCGGCGGAUGGCGGGCAGGCGCUGUCGCUCUCGGGGCAGUCCUACUGGCUGGAUCUCUGGCUCUUCGUCCUCUUCGACCUGGCGCUCUUCCUGGUCAUCUACCUGCUGCCCUGAGGUCGUCGGGCUCAGCUCAGCCGACGGCGGGGAGCGGAGCCCCUGUCUAAUCACAGGAUGCACCUUAAAGAAAAGACACUGUGGAAGAGGGUCUUAAUGAAAAGACACUUGUGCUGUAGAAACACCUGGGACCACGACAUCACUUGCAUCUGAAUGCGAGGCAUAUCUAUACAUGAUACCAUACUAUUUGUCUGGCUGUGUCAAGUAUUACUGUUCAGGUUUUUACCUGUAUCCUAUUUCUGUGUUCUAAACUGUGCCUUAAAGGUCACAUAAAACAGCAUGACUGCUUUAGUAAUUAGUGCCUAAGGGUUUGUAAAGCAGAAAUGGAAAGGUGUACUGUUUUAAUAAAAUCAAGUGAAAAGACAAAGCAUGGAGUGGAUAAGAAUAAAAUUCAUCUGUUACAAAGACAUAA